Molecule: long non-coding RNA, 4576 nt
Organism: Poecile atricapillus (Black-capped chickadee)
Lineage: Eukaryota; Metazoa; Chordata; Aves; Passeriformes; Paridae
Exons: 3
Source: RefSeq, a predicted model, not a curated record
UCAUACAAGAACUUAGCCUUCAGACAAACAGGAAAUGCACCACAUCAUGUGUCUACAAAUAUAAAGUGCUUUAUAAAUGGCUGGCAUGAGGUUACUUAUCAAAGCAAGAAAAGUGAUUCAGCAGUGGACUGCUCAUGGAGAACCAAAAGGAAAAGAAAUCAGGAUGGGACGAGGGAAACAAACUGAGGACUAGCUCAGAGUCCUGCCCAUUUCUUCACAGGUGACAUCAAAGCCUGGCCUAAGAUGCUUUCAGCAGAAGGGUGUCCUUGACCUGCAGGUGGACACAACACAUGAUGGUUUUUAACCCUCAGAAGGAUGGAGGUCACAUUGCCUGAACCGUUUUGAACUUAAAUCUUGUGGUGGUGAAGUAAAGAUGCUAAAGAUGGCCACCCUCAACACCCAGAUUUUUCCUUUUCCACACCUUUGAAUUAACAAGGGUGAAUUUCACCUCCCCACUAACCUGGCUGCAUAGGUGGAAAUUUCUGAGCAGGAUUACAAGCAAGUUAGAAAGGCAGAGAAGUAGGUGGUGGUGCAGGAGGUGAAAGCAAGCAGCUAACCAGGAAACCAAACCAUAACACAGCCAUAGGAAAGUAUCUGACUAUGAAAAACAGACAAAUGCAAUUGGUGAUGUCAGUUCCUACUACAGCAGGAGGAGCAGACCCACUGCAGUGCUGCAGCCAGGAAAACACAGACCAGAGCAGACUGGUGCACGCUGUGUAGAAAGUGUUACCAGGCUCAUGCAGCAAAAAUACCAUUUAAUUGCAGGCCUCAAGGAAAUGACUAUAUUGUCCAUGCUUGACCUCAAUUCCACUCCACAGAGCUCAGAGUAAAGCCAAAACUGACCUUCAGAAGUUUCUGGAGCAAUUCCACUCCUACCAUGCACAAGUUUCCAUCCCCUCUGAUUUAUGGAAGUCAGGCAUAUUGUGAAACACAUUAUAUAAAAUUGCUGGAAGGAAAAAUUAAGGAAAAAAAGUUUGCUGGAGCCAACAAAGGUACAAAAACCCCUUACUGAAUGGAGUUUUUCCUCUGUAAAUGAUGUUUUGUUUGAAGUUGGUCUCUGGAGGGGUAAAAGUCGGUUAACAAAGUAUUUUUCUGAAACGAAGAUGAGGGAAACACUUUUUAAAAUACCACACAUGGGAAUAAAACCCUUUACUUCCAAGCACAUUGAGGAUGAAGUGGGUCACUGUAUGCUUUGAUUCACUGACUUGUGUCCCCUGUAAUCACACAAUGUAUGAGCACAGUAGAUGCAGAGGCACCAGUCUACUUGCUGGUCCAGGACCGUGGCAAUGGCUGGUUCUUGAUAUGCAAUAGAAAGAUUUGCUCACUGAAUGGCCUGAAACUGAACAGAGGAGGAUUAUUUUCAAAGUCAGAUUCACACACAUUGAGCACUAACCUUAUUGUCUGCAAUAGCCUCAAGUACUACAGAUUUGGGGAGUGAAGCAACCAAAUUGUCACUUAGCCUUCAAUCUUCAUUGGCUGGGGUGGCCUUGGGGCUCUGCAGGUAUGUUGGCAGGCUCCUAGGCUGUCUAUCAAUCCACCCACUUCAAACAUAAGAAGGUUUUUUGUAUAACAGGAGUGAUACUGCUGUUGCCCAGGCUAAGGAAGUAACAGAGGUAAGGAAAUCAGGGAGCCAGUCUCCUAGGGCAUCCUGGUGAUCGGGAAGCAGAGAAGGUUUUCUUCCAAAUGGGGUCUUAAAUGAUGAACAUCUUCUCUGGAGAAAUUUUGAGAAAUAUCCUUAAGGUUGGACUGUGCUUGAGACAACAUUUCCAUUGUUUAAGGAUGACAGGAAAAACCAGAGUUUCUGAAAGUCACAUUUUAAGUCAGUGUUAGAGGUUAGGGACCACGUGCAGGUCUCUGCAAUGGCAAAGCAGUUCCCUACACACAAAGGCCUUUCCAAGCUUUCCCACUUCCCAAGAAUGUUGUGCUGAGAAUCCAGGGCAUUUUCCUCUAAAACUGUUUAUGUGUGAUUUAUAGCCCAAAGACAAGCAACCAGUUUGCCCCCCAAACUUUUCAGUGGUGCUUGGAUUAAAAUUUUUCAGGCUAUAUUAAGGUCUAGGGUAUUGAUUUAUUUUUGUGAAUUCAUUUUCCUUUUCCUUGUCACAGCUUUCACAGAUUUAUGAGGUUAAAGAGCAUGAAGCUAAUUAAAUAAUCUGACUGGUUGAACAUCUGUUGAAACAUAGUAAUAACUUCUGAAGCCAAUGUUCCUGAUGAGCUAUUAAUUAUGAUUUAAAAACUAGAGGCAGGGUUUUACCAUCAAAGAAAAUCAACAAACCAAAACCCUAGCACCCUUCUGGGCUCAGAGUGAACCCUCAGCAUCCCUUUGAAGCCUUUCACACCCACAGUCCAGGUGUCCCUUUUAGGCUCUCUUACAGCCAGAGUUCCUAAUGAAAGCCAGAUAGUCUGUAGGGAAGGUCCAGUCCCGUUUGAAAAUUGUUGCUGUGCAGCAGCUACAAACAGAAAUUAAGAUUCAGACAUGAUGGAGCUUAACUGAAUCCACUUUAGCCCAAAUCAGAAACAAAUGCAUGACCUUAGGUUAGUGGUUUAAGUCCAAAUAGCCACCUAAGUAAGGAACUGAACCUUUUCCUCAGUUCCCUCUUGCUUUCCAUCCCCAUGGAGCAGCUCUGGACUGACUUAGGACUUCCUAGGCCCAGAAAUUUCCACCAGACGGAUGUGCAGGAAUUUGGUUCUCAGCCUGGCAUAGUCUGCCUCAAUUUGCUUAGACUUUGCAUUGUCUUCACAUCUUGUUCUCAAAAUAGAUUUGUCAAAAAUUCAUUAAUGGAGCAGAUAAAUAAGUUAGAUCAAUUCCCUCCUACUACUCAGGAUCAGUUUAUGUUUCAAGGCUGAUGAAAGUACUUUGAAUAGAUAAGUAAUUUGCAGCUGUUUGUAAAUCCCCUCCUCUGCUGGUAAAUUAUAGGGGCUGUGGCAUGCUUGUUUGUGCAGAGUGAGGGUGUGCCCCAAGGUCUGCAGGAGUUAAUGACAGAUCCAGAGGAAAAGUGCUCACUGAUGCUAACAGCAUCUCCAGGCUCUCCUGCACCAAAGCCACAGGAUUGCAUGUGCUUGCCCUUUCUGUGACUUUUCCUUUUAGAAAUGAACAAAUUGUUCACAAAGUAAAUAUUAUCCAUAUUGUAAAUUAUUCAUAGUCUCAAAGUGCAGUGGGUGAAAGUGGGAUUGAAGCUUAUGCUGAGACUUUUCUGCAUAACCUAAAAAUGGAAGGGAAGUUUUACAUAAAAAAAAAAAAAAAAAGAAGAGGAAAAUCCCUCAGCGUCUUACAGUUCAGUUCAGAUCUCUAACAGCCUGUAGACCGGAACUGACAGGAACAUUUCAAGGUUAAAAAAAAAUUAAAACCAUAGUCUCACAGGUAUUCCUAACAGUAUCUCAGAUUAUUCCAAGUGUAGGUGAUAUUAUUAGGCAGUAAGGUCCAGAGCCACAAAUGGAUUUUGACUUUCAAACUUGCCUGCAAUAAGCUUCAGACCCUUCAGCCCAUGCAUGCUGUGGAGGGCUCCUGAGGGAAGAGAAACUUUUCUGUGUGGCACAUUUUGGGUCUCAGUCUUUCUGCAUCCUUGGGGACUCAUGAGUCCCAGAACCACUCUAUGAUGAGGGGUGUGUACUUGUUGGGACACUGAGUGCACCCAAGUGUUACCAGAUGUGGCAGCAGCAGAUGCUGCCCAGGUUGACUUUGAUUUAUCUUGGUUGUCAGGUUAUCUCACAUUUAUUUUCACCAUCCCAUUAAAACUUCUUUACUCUCCCUGGUUUCUCUCAGGGUCUUUUCAUGAAAUGCUCAUUUCAAGAAGACAAGGACAGGUAGCUACACCCCUUGUCCUAGUCCAGACAAUUCCCUUAGUUCUUGAUGGCCCAUUCACACAGCUCCCUGUGAGGCUCAUCCUUGUCUCCCCUCCCAGACAAGGAUUUUAACUCACUGCUUCACCCAGCAUACAGACAAAUUAAUAUCCAUGAAAGAGAAUUGUGUCCCAUGAACUGACAAAUACUUCACAGUGUUUUGUCAUCCCAUCUUCCUUCCCUUUUCCCACUUCAGGUCCAUUUUCCUUACCUGCAUCAGGAGCUGCUUCUUUUUCACAGCAACCACUCAACCCAUUGAAUAAAAUCACAUGUAACCCUGGGUUAAGCUUGGAAAUUGGCCAACAAAUCCUGCCUGAACCUUCACCCACCCAACACUGCUCUAUCAGGACCCUCAGUGCUCAACACUGGGACUUGAGUAGGGAAUCACUUGCUUAAAACUUGAAUUUCAAUGCUCAGCAUCAGGAUGUGGGAGCAGAGAUGACUCCAUCUUACAUAGCCUGAAUGUGCUACAUCUCCUGUUGAUUCAGUUCAUCCACCCUGAGACUUUAGAAACUUCCUGUGCUAAAGUCAUUAAAAGAUUAACACUGUGCCUCUCACUGUGCCUCCUGGUCAGCCACAGCGUCCCAGCCAGCCUGGUCAACCUCUCUUCUUCCUCACUCUGCUUCACGUCUGGCUUCCAGUUUUUCUCUCCUUUUUGCUUUCCACGUUCAUGUAGCCAACACAAGAUUUUAAAAACAGGCAUCAUCAUAAUAUUUCUGUUUAAUUUAAUAAACAUGUU